UACAGAGGUCCCAAGCGUUGUUCGGAUUCACUGGGCGUAAAGGGUGCGCAGGUGGUCGGGUAAGUCUGAUGUGAAAUCCCGCAGCUCAACUGCGGAAUGGCAUUGGAUACUAUUUGGCUAGAGGGUUGGAGGGGGGACUGGAAUUUCCGGUGUAGCGGUGAAAUGCGUAGAUAUCGGAAGGAACACCAGUGGCGAAGGCGACUUCCUGGCCCGAAACUGACACUGAGGCGCGAAAGCGUGGGGAGCGAACAGG
This 253-nucleotide ribosomal RNA is filed under the name uncultured bacterium. RNAcentral describes it as "partial 16S ribosomal RNA". It matches the Rfam family "Bacterial small subunit ribosomal RNA", at positions 524 to 776 of the family's 1533-position model. The record is from RNAcentral.